AUACGGAGGAUGCAAGCGUUAUCCGGAUUUAUUGGGUUUAAAGGGUGCGUAGGCGGUUUGCUAAGCGGGAGGUGAAAUGCCGGCGCUCAACGUCGGAAGUGCCUCCCGAACUGGUGGACUUGAAUGACUCUGCCGUGGGAGGAAUGUGUAGUGUAGCGGUGAAAUGCUUAGAGAUUACACAGAACACCGAUUGCGAAGGCAUCUCACGAAGGGUUGAUUGACGCUGAGGCACGAAAGCGUGGGGAUCAAACAGGAUUAGAUACCCUGGUAGUCCACGCAGUAAACGAUGAUGGCUAACCGCUGGAUCCAUCGGUUCAGUGGCCAAGCGAAAGCGAUAAGCCAUCCACCUGGGGAGUACGACCGCAAGGUUGAAACUUAAAGGAAUUGGCGGGG
This 393-nucleotide ribosomal RNA is filed under the name uncultured bacterium. RNAcentral's name for it is "partial 16S ribosomal RNA". It matches the Rfam family "Bacterial small subunit ribosomal RNA", at positions 523 to 918 of the family's 1533-position model. The record is from RNAcentral.